This 467-nucleotide ribosomal RNA is filed under the name uncultured bacterium. RNAcentral's name for it is "bacterial SSU rRNA". It matches the Rfam family "Bacterial small subunit ribosomal RNA", at positions 28 to 507 of the family's 1533-position model. The record is from RNAcentral.
GAUGAACGCUGGCGGCGUGCUUAACACAUGCAAGUCGAACGGACUUUUGAUGAAACCUAGUGAUUCAAAAGUUAGUGGCGGACGGGUGAGUAACGCGUGGGUAACCUGCCUCGUACAGGGGGAUAACACUUAGAAAUAGGUGCUAAUACCGCAUAAGCGCACAGCUUCGCAUGAAGCAGUGUGAAAAACUCCGGUGGUACGAGAUGGACCCGCGUCUGAUUAGCUAGUUGGUGAGGUAACGGCCCACCAAGGCGACGAUCAGUAGCCGGCCUGAGAGGGUGAACGGCCACAUUGGGACUGAGACACGGCCCAAACUCCUACGGGAGGCAGCAGUGGGGAAUAUUGCACAAUGGGGGAAACCCUGAUGCAGCGACGCCGCGUGAGUGAAGAAGUAUUUCGGUAUGUAAAGCUCUAUCAGCAGGAAGAAAAUGACGGUACCUGACUAAGAAGCCCCGGCUAACUACGUG